GUGCCCAGAGAUCCACGAUCAACCAGCUGAUUCAUUUGAUGUUGAACCAGAUUUCAACCAAACUGUACCCCAAUUCCUGCAAAGUGCUCUUGAAAGUUCUGCUGUUUUAGAACAAAAACUUGGACUGUCUAGUGAAAUGAUGAAAUUAGCCAAUGUCCGGCUGGACAAAAUGAAGAAGGACAAAAGAGCAAAUAUGGAUGAAAAUGAAGAUGAUGUGUCAGAAAUGAUAGACAGAUACCUACCAUCAGAGGCCCUUUUUCUGCAGCUUCAACCAAAAGGAAAAUAAAAAAGAUGCGGGAUUUGGCUGAAGAACUCAGCAUUCAUGCAAAAGUUCAAACCAUCUUAUGCUAUGUAGCACCAAACAAAAAAAUCCA
This is a long non-coding RNA of Daphnia magna, 374 nucleotides long. RefSeq lists it as uncharacterized. The record is from RefSeq and is a predicted model, not a curated record. NCBI's taxonomy places the organism in Eukaryota, Metazoa, Arthropoda, Branchiopoda, Diplostraca, Daphniidae. The transcript has 4 exons.